Molecule: unclassified non-coding RNA, 379 nt
Filed under: fungal sp.
Lineage: Eukaryota; Fungi
Description: partial internal transcribed spacer region
Rfam family: Eukaryotic small subunit ribosomal RNA (bases 1-46)
Source: RNAcentral
AAGUCGUAACAAGGUUUCCGUAGGUGAACCUGCGGAAGGAUCAUUUCUGUUCCAACCUUUUUUCUUCUUGGUCUCCAACUUUAUUGGGGGGGAUUGAGGAGGAAAAAUAGAGAUUGUGUGGUUUAAAUGCUUUCUAUGUGGGGCUGCCUUCUUUUACCUGAGUACCGAAAGGUACAUAGGGUAUGGGGAGUGGUUCCAUGUAGAAACCCCAUUUUUCAUAUAUAUAAAAUCACGAUGAUUACUAUUGUAACCAACCGAGAGCAAAGUAGUCUUCAUCUAAUCUAGUUUUCUUGAUUGAGGAUUAGUGCGGAAGGAGGUUGCUUUGAAUUUCACAAAUAUAAACGACAUACAACUGUCAACGGUGGAUCUCUUGGCUCGU